Passer montanus (Eurasian tree sparrow) is the source of this 472-nucleotide long non-coding RNA. RefSeq lists it as uncharacterized. The transcript is spliced from 3 exons. Lineage: Eukaryota; Metazoa; Chordata; Aves; Passeriformes; Passeridae. The record is from RefSeq and is a predicted model, not a curated record.
CCCCGUGUCCCCGCGCUGACGCUGCCCCGCAGGGCGCGGUGCUGGCCCCCGCCGUGGACCACGCCGUCCCCCUCCAGCCCUCUGUGGUGGCCCCCCUGGCCCAGCAGCUCGGCCACCUCUCUCUGGGCAGCGCCGGCACGUACGUCCCCGCUGCCGCCGCCGCCGUGCCCGGAGCCUUCAUCCCGCCGUACCCGCCGGUGCCCCCCGCCCUCCCGCUGGAGGACGGAGGAGCCGCCCCGAGCCACGGGCCCAUCGAGUCACCGUCCGAGCCCGGCGCCUUCCCCUACCCCUACCCCAAGUAGGGGCAGGGGGGGCUCGGCCCGAGGGACCCCCUCCCCAAAAAUAAAACCGCUGGGACCCCCACCCGGUGCCUGAUCCCCCCCGGAAUGCUCUGAGCACCGGGCGGGGGUCUCUGAGUAUGGGGAGGGGUCCCCACCCUUCCACUCCUCCCUCCAUCUGCUUCUCCCCCCCC